GAAUUUUAUAUUUUAAUAUGUAAUAAAUAUAUAAUUAAAAUAUUUUAUUGGGAGGAUAUUUAAAUUUAAUAAACUUUAAUUAUUAAUAACAUAGAUGAAUGAAAAUUUUUAAAAAUAUAAAUAUUUAAGAAUAAAUGAAUAAUUAUGUAAUUAUUAAAGAAUUAAUUACCUUAGGGAUAACAGCAUAAUAUUUUUUUGUAGUUCAUAUAUAAAAAAAUGCUUGU
This 224-nucleotide ribosomal RNA is filed under the name Hypoponera foreli. RNAcentral's name for it is "partial large subunit ribosomal RNA". Lineage: Eukaryota; Metazoa; Arthropoda; Insecta; Hymenoptera; Formicidae. The record is from RNAcentral.